RNAcentral lists this ribosomal RNA (232 nucleotides) under uncultured bacterium. RNAcentral describes it as "partial 16S ribosomal RNA". It matches the Rfam family "Bacterial small subunit ribosomal RNA", at positions 99 to 334 of the family's 1533-position model. The record is from RNAcentral.
CGGACGGGUGAGUAAUGUCUGGGAAACUGCCUGAUGGAGGGGGAUAACUACUGGAAACGGUAGCUAAUACCGCAUAACGUCGCAAGACCAAAGUGGGGGACCUUCGGGCCUCAUGCCAUAAGGUGUGCCCAGAUGGGAUUAGCUAGUAGGUGGGGUAACGGCUCACCUAGGCGACGAUCCCUAGCUGGUCUGAGAGGAUGACCAGCCACACUGGAACUGAGACACGGUCCAG